UAAGGUCUUAGCUUAAUUAAAGCAGUUGAGUUGCAAUUAGCAGAUGUAAAUUAGAGUUUUACAGGCCUU
Molecule: transfer RNA, 69 nt
Filed under: Pachydactylus scutatus (large-scaled gecko)
Lineage: Eukaryota; Metazoa; Chordata; Lepidosauria; Squamata; Gekkonidae
Description: tRNA-Ala
Rfam family: tRNA
About the family: Transfer RNA (tRNA) molecules are approximately 80 nucleotides in length. Their secondary structure includes four short double-helical elements and three loops (D, anti-codon, and T loops).
Source: RNAcentral